CGAAGGGGCUAGCGUUGCUCGGAAUUACUGGGCGUAAAGGGCGCGUAGGCGGACAGUUUAGUCAGAGGUGAAAGCCCAGGGCUCAACCUUGGAAUUGCCUUUGAUACUGGCUGUCUUGAGUUCGGGAGAGGUGAGUGGAAUGCCGAGUGUAGAGGUGAAAUUCGUAGAUAUUCGGCGGAACACCAGUGGCGAAGGCGACUCACUGGCCCCGAUACUGACGCUGAGGCGCGAAAGCGUGGGGAGCAAACAGGAUU
Molecule: ribosomal RNA, 254 nt
Filed under: uncultured bacterium
Lineage: Bacteria
Description: partial 16S ribosomal RNA
Rfam family: Bacterial small subunit ribosomal RNA
Source: RNAcentral